UACGUAGGGUGCAAGCGUUGUCCGGAAUUAUUGGGCGUAAAGAGCUCGUAGGCGGUUUGUUGCGUCGGCUGUGAAAACCCGGGGCUCAACUCCGGGCCUGCAGUCGAUACGGGCUGGCUUGAGUGCGGUAGGGGAGACUGGAAUUCCUGGUGUAGCGGUGAAAUGCGCAGAUAUCAGGAGGAACACCGGUGGCGAAGGCGGGUCUCUGGGCCGUAACUGACGCUGAGGAGCGAAAGCGUGGGGAGCGAACAGG
This 253-nucleotide ribosomal RNA is filed under the name uncultured bacterium. RNAcentral describes it as "partial 16S ribosomal RNA". It matches the Rfam family "Bacterial small subunit ribosomal RNA", at positions 524 to 776 of the family's 1533-position model. The record is from RNAcentral.